This 717-nucleotide ribosomal RNA is filed under the name Triticum aestivum (bread wheat). RNAcentral's name for it is "partial small subunit ribosomal RNA". Lineage: Eukaryota; Viridiplantae; Streptophyta; Magnoliopsida; Poales; Poaceae. The record is from RNAcentral.
AAGCAGUUUAGUGACAUUCAGUUAGGCCACAUGAGAAAGUACAAAAUGGAAGCUCUGCUUCAUAUGCCAAAGAAACUUAAAAUCCCCAUGAAUCUGCUUGAAUGGAUAGAUCAGCACAUCUUUGGAACUAAAGAGCCCUAUUUCAAGCAUAAGAAUAAAGUUAUCAAGAUUACUAAAGAUAUGGUCGACAAAAUUUUCGAUUUCCCUGGUGGCACCAAGCCUUUUGUAUUCAGUAGCGACGAUCCCCAAGUGAAAGCAGAGGUUACACAGUUGAGGAACAAGUAUAUUGAUCAUCGGAACAAAAUGCCAAUUAAUAAAAUAGAGGAGGUGAUGCUUAGUGACGAGACAGAAGAUGGUUUUAUUAGGAGCUUCACAUUUUAUUUCCUAUCAUCUAUUUUGUGCCCUGCGUCAUAUUGUUUUGGAAACACCAAGUUCUUGUACUCUCUGAGAGAUGUUUCUGCUAUUCCUUCACUCGACUUUGCACAAUUGGCACUGGAUUUCAUGCGUGAGGAGUCACAACGUCACUUAGAAAUGAUCAUGAACAGACCAUCUGUUGAGGAAAUGAACAAGUCUUCAUAUAUUGGGGGAUGUCUUCCUAUUUGGGGAAUCAUUUAUCUGGAUUUUGUUGAUUUCAAUAUUAUUGAUAAUCAUCAGUCUACUGUGGAUUAUUCUCUUCCACGGAUAUGUCAUGUUAAGACUGAAGAUUUCAAGUAUCUU